CAGCAGCCGCGGUAAUACGUAGGGUGCGAGCGUUAAUCGGAAUUACUGGGCGUAAAGCGUGCGCAGGCGGUUUAGUAAGUCUGAAGUUAAAGGCAUUGGCUCAACCAAUGUAUGCUUUGGAAACUGUUAGACUUGAGUGCAGAAGGGGAGAGUGGAAUUCCAUGUGUAGCGGUGAAAUGCGUAGAUAUAUGGAGGAACAUCGGUGGCGAAAGCGGCUCUCUGGUCUGUCACUGACGCUGAGGCUCGAAAGCGUGGGUAGCGAACAGGAUUAGAUACCCGAGUAGUCCCUGUCUCUUAUACA
RNAcentral lists this ribosomal RNA (301 nucleotides) under uncultured bacterium. RNAcentral describes it as "partial 16S ribosomal RNA". It matches the Rfam family "Bacterial small subunit ribosomal RNA", at positions 509 to 808 of the family's 1533-position model. The record is from RNAcentral.